Felis catus (domestic cat) is the source of this 45-nucleotide non-coding RNA. The record is from Rfam. Lineage: Eukaryota; Metazoa; Chordata; Mammalia; Carnivora; Felidae.
CCAAAGGCUCUUUUCAGAGCCACAGAUUUUCACCACCGGAGCUGU